This 586-nucleotide ribosomal RNA is filed under the name Sutcliffiella cohnii. RNAcentral's name for it is "bacterial SSU rRNA". It matches the Rfam family "Bacterial small subunit ribosomal RNA", at positions 51 to 621 of the family's 1533-position model. Lineage: Bacteria; Bacillati; Bacillota; Bacilli; Caryophanales; Bacillaceae. The record is from RNAcentral.
AUAAUGCAGUCGAGCGACUUCUUUAGAGCUUGCUUUAAAGAAGUUAGCGGCGGACGGGUGAGUAACACGUGGGCAACCUGCCUGUAAGACUGGGAUAACUUCGGGAAACCGGAGCUAAUACCGGAUAAUAUAUAGUACCUCCUGGUACUAUAUUGAAAGUUGGUUUCGGCUAACACUUACAGAUGGGCCCGCGGCGCAUUAGCUAGUUGGUGAGGUAACGGCUCACCAAGGCAACGAUGCGUAGCCGACCUGAGAGGGUGAUCGGCCACACUGGGACUGAGACACGGCCCAGACUCCUACGGGAGGCAGCAGUAGGGAAUCUUCCACAAUGGACGAAAGUCUGAUGGAGCAACGCCGCGUGAGCGAUGAAGGCCUUCGGGUCGUAAAGCUCUGUUGUUAGGGAAGAACAAGUGCGAGAGUAACUGCUCGCACCUUGACGGUACCUAACCAGAAAGCCACGGCUAACUACGUGCCAGCAGCCGCGGUAAUACGUAGGUGGCAAGCGUUGUCCGGAAUUAUUGGGCGUAAAGCGCGCGCAGGCGGUUUCUUAAGUCUGAUGUGAAAGCCCACGGCUCAACCGUGGAGG